Small nuclear RNA from Nomascus leucogenys (northern white-cheeked gibbon), 107 nucleotides. Lineage: Eukaryota; Metazoa; Chordata; Mammalia; Primates; Hylobatidae. The record is from Ensembl.
GUGCUCACUUCAGCACCACAUAUACUGAAAUUGGAAUGACACACAGAAGAUUAGCAUGGUCCCUGUGCAAGGAUGACAUGCAAAUUCAUGAAGCAUUCCAUAUUUUU